UACGUAGGGGGCGAGCGUUGUCCGGAAUGACUGGGCGUAAAGGGUGCGUAGGCGGCUUGGCAAGUUAGAAGUGAAAUACCUAGGGCUUAACUCAGGUGCUGCUUUUAAAACUGCUGGGCUGGAGUGCAGGAGAGGUUAAUGGAAUUCCUAGUGUAGCGGUGGAAUGCGUAGAUAUUAGGAAGAACACCGGAGGCGAAGGCGGCUUACUGGACUGCAACUGACACUGAGGCUCGAAAGCGUGGGGAGCAAACAGG
Molecule: ribosomal RNA, 254 nt
Filed under: uncultured bacterium
Lineage: Bacteria
Description: partial 16S ribosomal RNA
Rfam family: Bacterial small subunit ribosomal RNA
Source: RNAcentral